Molecule: ribosomal RNA, 253 nt
Filed under: uncultured bacterium
Lineage: Bacteria
Description: partial 16S ribosomal RNA
Rfam family: Bacterial small subunit ribosomal RNA
Source: RNAcentral
UACGAAGGGGGCUAGCGUUGCUCGGAAUCACUGGGCGUAAAGGGUGCGUAGGCGGGUCUUUAAGUCAGGGGUGAAAUCCUGGAGCUCAACUCCAGAACUGCCUUUGAUACUGGCAAUCUCGAGUCCGGGAGAGGUGAGUGGAACUGCGAGUGUAGAGGUGAAAUUCGUAGAUAUUCGCAAGAACACCAGUGGCGAAGGCGGCUCACUGGCCCGGUACUGACGCUGAGGUGCGAAAGCGUGGGGAGCAAACAGG